CCACCGUAGUGCUUAGGCCGGAAAUGACCGGCCGUUUCCGGUCUCCCCGAUCCGGGAAGACGGUUUCGGGCUGUUGGAAACCGAACCCCAAGGUCCUAAGGCAGGUCCUUUGCGGAACUCAGACUCCAGCCCAGGGUUCCAGGCCUCCGGGCCUCCGACGGGCCCAACCACCAGCGUGGCUACUCGAGACAGUUCAGGGCCGGAAACGGGCCAGCGUGGGUCAUCAUGGCGACGCCGGCUGGGCUGGAGCGCUGGGUGCAGGACGAGCUGCACUCGGUGCUGGGGCUGAGCGAGCGGCACGUAGCCCAGUUCCUGAUUGGUACCGCGCAGCGCUGCGCCUCGGCCGAGGAGUUUGUGCAGCGCCUGCGAGACACCGAUACUCUGGACCUCAGCGGGCCAGCGCGGGACUUCGCCCUGAGGCUCUGGAACAAGGUACCACGGAAGGCAGUGGUAGAAAAGCCAGCUCGGGUGGCCGAGCGAGAGGCACGAGCCCUGCUGGAGAAGAACCGAUCCUAUAAGUUGCUGGAAGACAGUGAGGAGAGCAGCGAGGAGACCAUAGGUAGAGCUGGGAGCAGUCUCCAGAAGAAGCGUAAAAAACGGAAACACCUCAGGAAGAAAUGUCAGGAGGAGGAAGAAGAGGAGGAAGAGAUUUCUGAGAAAGGGAAGAGAAAGACAGGGGGGAGUAAACAGCAGACUGGGAAGCCAGAGUCGGAGGAUGAGUGGGAGCGGACUGAGCGAGAGCGCCUUCAGGACCUGGAGGAACGUGAUGCCUUCGCUGAGCGGGUUCGGCAGCGGGACAAGGAUCGAACUCGCAAUGUCCUGGAGCGGUCAGACAAGAAGGCUUAUGAAGAGGCUCAGAAGCGCCUCAAGAUGGCCGAGGAAGACCGGAAAUCCAUGGUCCCUGAGCUGCGGAAAAAAUCCCGCCGAGAGUACUUGGCUAAGCGGGAGCGCGAGAAGCUUGAGGACCUGGAGGCAGAGCUGGCUGAUGAGGAGUUCCUUUUUGGGGAUGUGGAGCUGAGCCGACAUGAACGGCGGGAGCUCAAAUACAAGCGGCGAGUUCGGGAUCUGGCCCGAGAGUACCGGGCGGCUGGGGAGCAGGAGAAGCUGGAGGCCACCAAUCGUUACCACAUGCCCGAGGAGACCCGAGGCCAGCCAGCACGAGCUAUGGAUCUAGUGGAGGAGGAAUCAGGCGCCCCUGGGGAGGAGCAGCGACGCUGGGAGGAGGCCCGGCUGGGGGCAGCAUCCCUGAAGUUUGGGGCCCGAGAUGCUGCUUCCCAGGAGCCCAAGUAUCAGCUGGUGCUGGAGGAAGAGGAGACCAUCGAGUUUGUCCGGGCCACUCAGCUCCAGGGCGACGAGGAGCCAUCAGGCCCACCGCCUCCAACCCAGGCCCAGCAGAAGGAGUCCAUCCAGGCUGUCCGCCGUAGCCUCCCAGUGUUCCCCUUCCGCGAGGAGCUCCUGGCAGCUAUUGCUGAUCAUCAGGUCCUCAUCAUCGAGGGUGAGACGGGCUCCGGGAAGACCACCCAGAUCCCGCAGUAUCUCUUUGAGGAGGGUUACACAAAGAAGGGAAUGAAGAUUGCCUGUACCCAGCCCCGGAGAGUAGCGGCCAUGAGUGUGGCUGCCCGGGUGGCCCGGGAGAUGGGUGUGAAGCUUGGGAAUGAGGUUGGCUACAGCAUCCGCUUUGAGGACUGCACAUCAGAGCGAACUGCCCUCCGCUACAUGACGGACGGGAUGCUCCUCCGGGAGUUCCUCUCUGAACCCGACCUUGCAAGUUACAGUGUGGUGAUGGUAGAUGAGGCUCAUGAACGGACCCUACACACAGACAUUCUCUUUGGGUUAAUCAAAGAUGUUGCUCGCUUCCGGCCUGAGCUGAAGGUUUUGGUGGCUUCAGCCACACUGGACGCUGCCCGUUUUUCCACCUUCUUUGAUGACGCCCCUGUCUUCCGAAUCCCUGGACGCAGGUUUCCAGUUGACAUCUUCUAUACCAAGGCUCCAGAGGCUGACUACCUGGAGGCUUGUGUCGUGUCUGUGUUGCAGAUCCAUGUGACCCAGCCCCCUGGGGAUAUCCUGGUGUUCCUGACGGGACAGGAGGAGAUUGAGGCCGCCUGUGAGAUGCUCCAGGAUCGCUGCCGCCGCCUGGGCUCCAAAAUCCGGGAGCUCUUGGUGUUACCCAUUUAUGCCAACCUGCCUUCUGACAUGCAGGCUCGUAUCUUCCAGCCCACACCCCCUGGGGCACGAAAGGUGGUUGUGGCAACAAACAUCGCUGAGACGUCACUCACCAUCGAAGGCAUCAUUUAUGUGCUGGAUCCAGGGUUCUGUAAGCAGAAGAGCUACAACCCUCGCACGGGCAUGGAAUCCCUCACUAUCACGCCCUGCAGCAAGGCCUCAGCCAAUCAGCGGGCUGGCCGGGCCGGUCGGGUGGCUGCCGGAAAGUGCUUCCGCCUGUACACGGCCUGGGCCUAUCAGCACGAGCUGGAGGAGACCACCGUGCCGGAGAUCCAGAGGACCAGCCUGGGCAAUGUUGUGUUGCUGCUCAAGAGCUUAGGGAUCCAUGACCUAAUGCACUUUGAUUUCCUGGACCCUCCCCCGUACGAGACCCUGCUGUUGGCUUUGGAGCAGCUGUAUGCCCUGGGAGCCCUCAACCACCUCGGGGAGCUCACCACGUCGGGUCGAAAGAUGGCAGAGCUACCGGUGGACCCCAUGUUAUCUAAAAUGAUCUUGGCCUCUGAGAAGUAUAGCUGUUCGGAAGAGAUCCUGACGGUGGCUGCCAUGCUGUGUGUGAACAGCUCCAUCUUCUACCGGCCCAAGGACAAGCUUGUCCAUGCCGACAACGCCCGGGUCAACUUCUUCCUCCCUGGUGGAGACCACCUGGUUCUGCUGAACGUUUAUACGCAGUGGGCUGAGAGUGGUUACUCUUCCCAGUGGUGCUAUGAGAACUUUGUACAGUUCCGAUCGAUGCGCCGAGCCCGGGAUGUGCGGGAACAGCUGGAGGGGCUCUUGGAGCGCGUGGAAGUUGGUCUCAGCUCUUGCCAGGGGGACUAUAUCCGUGUCCGCAAGGCCAUCACCGCUGGCUACUUCUACCACACGGCCCGGCUGACCCGGAGCGGCUACCGCACGGUCAAACAGCGGCAGACAGUGUUCAUUCACCCCAACUCCUCCCUCUUCGAGGAACAGCCACGCUGGCUGCUCUACCAUGAACUUGUCUUGACCACCAAGGAGUUCAUGAGACAGAAAGAAUCCUAAUAUUCUGAAAAAUGAACAAAGGAACGGAGCAACAGAUUUUAGUGUACUGUGGAUGAAAUGAUGUAGCCCUUAACAAAACUCCACCAUUAAGUGUGUGAUGGAAAAAAAACAUCCAACUGUAAGUAGAAGACACUUCUCCUAGCUCUGAUUACAUUGUGACACCUUGGGCACUCUCAUUCCCUAUGCCUAUCUCAUGAAUGUCCUCUUAUAAGCGAGGACGAUGAAGCCACACUGAAUUGUUUUGAGAACCAUAUGACGUAAUAAAUGUAAAUAAAACUUCGCCAUCUGUAAAUUGUAUGCAAAUGUAAGCUACUAUCAUUUCGGGCUCCUCUAACGACACAAACAAGCCGAGACCGUUAAAGGCUGGGCUCCAUUCCUCUGGUUUACCGACGUUGCAAGUGCGACGGGCGGGAGGUCACCCAAAGUCAGGCCUAGCCCGGGUCCCUCCGCUCUCAGGGAGCCCCUGGGGGGCGGGGGGGCCUCACUUCCGGGAAGGCUGGCUGGCCCUGCGGGUACCUCAGUCCCCGAGGCGCCGUCUCCGCCGGGGGCGUGGCCAUUUGGCCCGGCCCGGCGCAGGGGUCCGAACCGGAUCCACCCAGGCCGGCCUUCCUGCCCUGACCGCUAUCCCGCUGUAAGAUGCGCCGGCUGCAGAGGGCGGCCGGCAGGUCUGUCUGGUCGGGACCUGGGAAUUCCGGGGCGGCUCCGCGGCCAGGCUGCGAACCUCUCCGCCCCUUGUCCUUCAAAUCACCUCCAGGCACAGGUAACCGCGGAAACGCCGGCGAAAUGCGGCCGCGCCCCGCCGUCCCUGGUUCACUCCCGCCUGCACGCCCUAGACCCGGGAGAACAUCCCGUGCACGCCACGUCGCGCUGCGCCGUCCUGGAGUCCCCGCGACCCCUCGCCCCUCCACACACCGCCCUGCACAGCAAUGGCUGGCCUACGCUAAAGGGUAGAAGUCACCGGGAAGAGCUGGAGGUUUCUGGAGGGAAUGGAGGAGUAGCCCUAGAAGCCUAUACAGAGGGAUCCAGGGACUGACAGGAGACAGAAUCCGCAGAAGAUCCAGCAGAUCACAAAGGUAAGGAAGAUCAGAGGACCAGGGAUCCCAGGGGAAAAAAAUCAGGUGACACACAAAUGAGGCUGAGACCUGAAGUUUGGGGUUUUUUUGAUUUUUUUUUUUUUCAUUGAAAAUGUCCAUUUAAAAAACACAAAAGAAUGCACACUUUAUUCAGACAACACUGAAAAGGAGAAGGAAAAGGAGUUGGGAGAGAGGGAGAUCCUGCUCCCAAGUACUGGGAUGGGGGAACACAGUGGGGGUACCUGAUCUACCACACAUUCAGAGAGUAGGGAGGGGGAAGAUGGCCCAUACCCUGGGUACGGAGCAGGGGAAGGUUCUUGCUAUGGAGGAAGGGCCAGAGGAAGAGUUCCCCUAUCACCUCGAGACAAUCUCACAAGACUGCAAUAUAUAAUCACCUACCUACUGGGGCAGGGUGUAUGCGAGAGAGGAUCCCAGAAGCUAACAGAUAACUUGAGACUCAGGGCUUGUCUUCUGAAACAUGGCUAAGAGUGAUCCCAGGAUACUCAGUGGGGAUCUACUGCCAAGAAACAAACUUCCUCACAGAAUCUGGAUCUGGGGGAAGUGGUGGUAUCUUUAGAAGUGUGGGGAGUCUUUAGAGCCUCAAAGCAGACAUCAGCUUAGGGGUUCCCAGACACAUACACAAAAAAUGGGGAGAUUAAGAGUUUGGCAAUGUUGAGUGGAUCCCUUUGGGGACUGUCUUUAUCACUGAACUGCUCUGAAGCAGAGCUCGUUGGCUGUCUUCAGCAGGCUGAGAAGGUAAGUAUGGUAGGCACCACAAAACAGUAUUCGAGCCACCAGUAACACUGUAGAAGGACUAUGGGAUUUACUCCAUGGACAAGACUCCUAAAAAGGUUUCCCUGGCACAGGAGGCCCUUGGACCUUCCUAAGGUGUUCUAGAUUCUAAUAGCAAGCAAGAGUGUGCUUCUCUGGAUAAUGAGUAUGAGCCACCCAACCAAGGGAUCUGGCAGCGAAUCAGGCUAUCUUGUGGGAGUGUUCAGAGCCCACUUAGGAAAAAAGGCGUGCUUUCUACAGUAAGAAAAGCUACAAAGUAUUAGGCCAUCUGGGACCCUGACAACACCUUUGCCCAAGAAAGAGGAAGAGGAAAUCCUACGAGCUCUGUCAGGUUCCACUGGAACCUGGGGACUACAAUGGAAGAGUGGACCUGGGGUUCUCAGGGAGAAGGGGCUCUGCCUACCCCAGGUCUCCCAGGGAGGGAAGGGGGUAACUAUCUGUCAGUAUCGACUCUCAUCAGAGCGGGGAAGGGAGCUGUGGAAGGGUGUUAUGGACAGGAGAAAAGGGAAAGGGAAAAUGGGGGAGAGAGAAAAACAGAAAGAGAAGUCAGAGGUGAAGAGAAAGCUAGGGAGAGAAAUCAAGGAGAUGCCCCCUCUGUUUGCUGGGAUGGGUUCCUGCUACACAAAGGACUAACAUGAGGCCAGUGGCUCCCCAAACUGUCAGAAACAUUGCAUCUUCCCAGUAAGCAUUAAACCAAGAUUUCCCCAAUACGAGAGACUCAGUUCCCCCCAACCCAAUGGAUCUGUUAUUUCUAUCCUUUCUCCCAUCUCUCACUUUAAAAACUAUAGAGUCCCUAGACUCCAUAUAAAGUACUAUUCUACUCCUUCAUGUAACUUAUUUCCAGACUGCUCCCACAAAUCUGGUCUAAUAUACUCUUCUCAAAAGGUGUCAGGACUCUCCAAUCUCCCUGUCCUAUUGCUUCUCAUCUCUGGCAGAUCCAAACUGCCCUUUGCCAUUGCUAACACCUUCUUUGACAGUUCUGAGGCUCCCUAACCCUCCAACUCCUAUUACCUGGUGCGCCGACGUUGGGCUGGGCUGCCCCCAGGGUCAGUAGCAAGCAGAAGGCGGGCGGUAGGGUGUGGGGGGCAGAGGCGCAGGGAACGCAGCAACUCCUGCUCUGGCACAAAGGGGCGGAGGGGACCCCGUUCUGGUGAGUUUCCCAGGCUGCUGGAGCGGGGGGGUGGAUGGGCUGGAGGCGUAGCACGGCGAGGGGCCCUGUUUAGGGGCCACGGAGGCUCCACAGCUACCUUCAGAACUGGCAAGAGGGAAAAUACAGAGCAAGACGGAGAAAGAAGAAAAAGGAGAAAGAGUGAUGACAGCAAAGAUUUGGGUAGAAAAAAGAGAAAUCAGAGCCUUUAGAGAGAACUACUUGUCCUGGGUUAAGGCCCCCAAGCCCAGCCACCCUACCCGAGUCUUACAUUCUCGGUCACUAGAGGAAUAUGGCUUAAUGUCUCCCUCUGCUCUCUUGGGUGGCAGCUUUCUUGCUGGAGCUGACAGUGGACAGGACACAGACAAGGUAAGCAUUAGAAGAUAUACUUUGCACCCCUCCUCCCAGUUUACUACCCCCUUGACCCCAAACGUCUGCUCCCUCACACCACAGUUCCUCCUGGGGAAGGAGAGAGUUCAGUUCAGCUCCAUCGCAGAAGCUGUGGCAAUGCCUUCCCACCAAGAGGGAAUUCAGGGGAAAUGCUGGAGCACUUUUGAGGGGAGCCAGAAGGAGCAGGCCAAAUGCAGAGUUGGGGGAAAAGUUCUAGGGGGAGACUCGGGCCUGGGAGAUGCAGGAGAAAGGUGGCUAAGGGAGGCAAGCUCUUACUGUCAGUGGGUGCUGUCAGGCCCCCCUGGGAUUCUGGGGCAGUGGAAUGGUCCCAGCCGGGCCCUCUAGAUGAGAUGGACAAAGUCCUUGGUUAAUUAGGAAUUGCUUUGGAGAGCUCAGGGGAGGUUAGGGUAGGGCAGAACCUCUCCUUCUAGGGCAAGAUUGAAGCUUUAUUAGGAAAAACAAAGUUUGAGGAGAAAACAAAGACAUUUGGAGUUAGCAGAGUAAAUGGGAGGCUAACAUACUAUCCAAAGCUCUGCUUCCCAUGCCCUCGCUUUUCUAUUUGCUCCCUCCCUUUCCCUCUCAAGAGGUUCUCUAUUGUGUGUGGCAAAGGAGAGAUUUCUCAGCAAAUCCACUUAAGCUUUAUCCAUGGUCCCCUCCCCUGUGGGCUUGGGCCCUCACCGCCCUUGUGGGCCCUCACUCCCUCUCACAGCCUGUAGUCAGCAGGAGCUGGAUGGGGGAGGCCUUGGCAAGCAAAGCGAGUCCUGGAUAUGAACUGCCUCCCAGUGCCCGACACUGGUCAAAGCUAGUAAAUGGUAACAGAUUGUUCUUUGGGUAGUGGUUACUCCCUUUCCUGGCUACGGAGGAGGGGCGAGCUAGCCACAAAGCCAGCUAGCUCAGCAUGGGGGCACUUCUGUGCAAGCUGUGGGAGGCAGUGAGGAAGGAGUGGGGCUCAGACUGCCAGGGAAUAUGUGUGUAUGAGGAGGGAAUGGGGAGCUUGGGCAGCAUUUCAGUACCUCCUAGAUUUGGUUUCUCCAGAUUGAUUUCAUUAUUUGGUUGGAAAUAUUAUAAAAUCUGAGCGUUAUUUUCUAAAACUAAUGUUUAACUUUGGACCAUUCAUGUCACUAUUCUAUGACUGGAAAUGGAAGGGCUGACCGCACUUGUCUGUCCCUUGACUGACAGAAACCUGAGGGGUCUGCAAAGGAAGGUGACCCUGGCCUAUUUUGAUGGGCCUGAAGCGGCAAAAGACCGCAUCAAUAUCAAUCAUCAAACAGGUCCCAAUGAGCUCACUUAGUUAAAAGUUCUGACAAGCGUAAGAUGUACUAAGCUCAUGAGGGCAAAAGCAGAUGGGUAACAACUGCUGGAGACUUUGGCUGCUUGAGAAUUUUCCCAAAUUGCCCACAAUUGCACUGUGCCCCCUGUGGCCUCCAGAGGAACUAGCCACCAUAGCCUACAGUUCCGCCCAUUCACUGCAGCUUUACCAGCGGGUGUAGGAUCAACCAUGGCAGCGCGAGAGUGUCGAGAUGCCCUCAGGGAGGGAGCAGGGGGCCCUGUGAGAAGGAAGCGGUGGUGCCCCUCAGUGAGGGUGCCAGUGGGAUCAAGAAUCCACCUCUGUCCUUCCCCUCACCCCAACUACUUGGCCAACACUUACGAUGCUGAUGGGCAAAGAAGCCUUCGAAGAUCACAAAGUUGUUGACCUAUGAGAUGAAACAAGUGAAAUAUACGUUGUUCAUUCAGCCAUUCACCACUACAUGGGGACACAACCUGGUCCCAUAAAAACCACAGUGGGAGGAACAGAAGCCAGCCUUCCUGUCCUUGUUGACAGACUCAGUCAAAAAUUCAGACCCUGGUAAGCUGAUCCUAAAAGUUGAUAUGGAAUUAUAAAGGACCUCAAAUAGCCAAAACAAUCUUGGAGGAUUCACACUUCCUGAUUUCAAAACUUACAAGGUAUUGCAAUCAAAAUGGUGUGGAAGAGGCCUGAAGCUAGACAUACAGACCGAUGGCAUGAAUAGAGUCCAGAAAUAAACCCAUGUGUCUACGGUCAAUUUUCAAGGGAGUGCCAAUACGAUUCAAUGGGGGGAAAAACAGCUUCUUUAACAAAUGGUGCUUGGACAACUGAAUAUUCACAUGCAAGAUAAUGAAUGUGGACCUCUACCUCACAUCAGACAAAAAUAAUUUCAACUGGAUCAAAGACCCUAAAUGUUUUGGGUUUCAAAAAUUUUUUUAAAGUUUAUUUAUUUAAGUAAUCUCUGCAUCCAAUAUGGGGCUCAAACUCACAAUUUGGAGGAUCAAGAGUCACAUGCUCUUCAGACUGAGCCAGGCAGGCACCUCAAAGAUCUAACUGUCAAGAGCUAAAACGAUGAAAUUCUUAGAAGGAAACAUGGGGGCGGGGGUGCUUGGGUGGCUCAGUCAGUUGAGCGGCUGACUCUUGGUUUCAGCUUAGGUCAUGAGACUGUCCGUGCUCAACUAGAAGUCUGCUUAAGAUUCUUUCCCUCUGCGCCCCCACCCUGCUCAUGCACUCUCUCUCUCUAAAAAAAAGAAAGAAAUGGGAAAAUCUUCAUGACCUGGAUUAGGCAAUUGUUUCUUAAAUAUGACACCAAAGCAUAAGCAACAAAAGAAAAAAAAAAUAGGCGCCUGGGUGGCUCAGUUGGUUAAGCGGCUGCCUUCGGCUCAGGUCAUGAUCCUGGAGUCCCGGGAUCGAGUCCCGCAUCCGGCUCCCUGCUCGGCAGGGAGUCUGCUUCUCCCUCUGACCCUCCUCCCUCUCAUGCUCUCUGUCUCUCAUUCUCUCUCUCUCUCAAAAAAUAAAUAAAAUCUUUAAAAAAAAAAGAAAAAAAAAUAAACUGGACUUGGCCAAAAGCAAAA
This is an RNA transcript of Mirounga angustirostris (Northern elephant seal), 9501 nucleotides long. It is a transcript of the gene named DEAH-box helicase 16, with no coding region annotated. NCBI's taxonomy places the organism in Eukaryota, Metazoa, Chordata, Mammalia, Carnivora, Phocidae. The transcript is spliced from 21 exons. The record is from RefSeq and is a predicted model, not a curated record.